GUGCUCACUUUGGCAGCACACAUAAUAAAAUUGAAAUGAUACAGCGAAAAUUAGCAUGGCCCCUAAGCAAGAAU
Ictidomys tridecemlineatus (thirteen-lined ground squirrel) is the source of this 74-nucleotide small nuclear RNA. NCBI's taxonomy places the organism in Eukaryota, Metazoa, Chordata, Mammalia, Rodentia, Sciuridae. The record is from Ensembl.